CUCCUGAUGAGACACUGAUACUCACUAUGAGGUAGGACCCCUCCUGACGAGACACUGAUACUCACUAUGAGGUAGGACCCCUCCUGAUGAGAGACUGAUACUCACUAUGAGGUAGGACCCCUCCUGAUGAGACACUGAUACUCACUAUGAGGUAGGACCCCUCCUGACGAGACACUGAUACUCACUAUGAGGUAGGACCCC
Molecule: long non-coding RNA, 201 nt
Organism: Oncorhynchus keta (chum salmon)
Lineage: Eukaryota; Metazoa; Chordata; Actinopteri; Salmoniformes; Salmonidae
Exons: 3
Source: RefSeq, a predicted model, not a curated record